CAAGAGAAGCUUACAGAAAGGGGUGUAUUCCUUAGCAGUCUCCAAAAAACGUUUAUUUUGUUUGCGUGGACGAAUCUGAGGUCGUGUGUAGGUUGUCAAUUUCAUUUGUUCUUGCGAGUUGAAUGCGUGUACAUUCAAAACUAUAUUUGCAACAGCGGGUAGACUUUAACGUUUUCUUUUACGUGCAACGAACUUCAUGAAAAUCGGUUCAAUUGACAUAUUCUGACACACGGCACUUUAGUUUCAACGAACCGCCAGUAGCGUUGCCGGCAGUCAUCCGGCAGUGCUAUCGCUGACAGCAUGGAGCAAUGGCGACCACCAUGUUACAUCAACAACGCAGCUUGCCAUCUUGCGACACAACGCACGCUGAAGCUUUUGCUAAUCUCUGAAAGGUGGUCGCUUAUCUCAGUCAUACCAAGCGCUUCAGUGGACGAGUAGCGUCAGUUAUCACAGCGUGUUCAAUUACUGCUCUCUGACUUAGCUUCCGCGUUAACUGCGUACAGAGCUGCUCUUUCAUGUGCUGUUCAAGAAAAUGCUUCGCCACGGACUUGGUGCUCUGCACGCCAAACCGUGCUAAAUCAGUAUCGCUGACUCCGUGGAUUCGCGGCGACCUUCAUGACUACUGCGUACGCAUUGAUGACGAAGGACAACGCACCGUUGAUGCUGUGCAACUUGAGCAUGGUCUGGUCUCCUACUGUGCUGGGCUUCACCACUUGACUGUGCGGUGUCGACCCAGCCAUGUUUGCAGUCUGCGGUCGCCGCAUGCCAAUUUAACUUCUUCUGAGGUACUUGAUCACUGAGGCAACGUGGACAGCGAAGCUCAACUAGGCAUGCCAUGCUGCUCACUGCAUGGAAGUAUCCUUUGGACAGCGCAUGGGGGCACUCGGGAUGCGAGAAAGUGGGAAGAAUGUUACGCGAAACUCUUUCUAUAAUAAUAAGGGGUAAUAGAGAGAAACGACCCAUACUAUUGAAAGAAUUUGUGUCAUAUUUGCCUUUCAAAAAAGAUGGUCAGGCGUUUCCGAAAAUAUUUGCAUAACAGAAACCAAUUACGCCACAUAUACCUGGUGUGUUGUUGUUUUGUUAGGGUACAUGUACUUCAAAACACAGUGGACUUUCAUUAAGUUGAUGCUGAUUAACUAGAUUUUUCGGUUAAUCUGAUCCUGACCAAAGGUCUUGGCUGUCACCCUUACAUUUAUGUGGUACAAACUCGUUAUUUUCAUCCUGAAAUUAGCCUUCACCGGAUAAUAAAGUUGCCCUGUCGAGAACACUUAUUUUUGGCCUACCUCAGGGGGAUAUAAAAGCGAAAAUGGUAGCUCAAAAUGAAUAAUACUAUAUUUACCUUAUCCUAACGUGAACCUUCUUUUUUUUUACCAAGAAAAUUUGCCCGAAAUUGCUUUGGUGGCACAGUCGCAUGCAAAGGCAAAACUGCAUUUGCAAAGCUUGCCAUCAAAGCUACUGUCAUCGUCAUUGCCAUUGCAAGAUGGCGACUCACAUAGCACAACAACAACAACGACGCCCCGUUUUCAGUCUUUGAUUACAAAAGCUCUUUAAAGAUAAGUUAUUUUACGUGUUAAGCUAGCAACAACAAAUCACGUCACAUGUUCUUGGCAUUCUGGAGAACUGCAUGCCUCACAGGACAAACUAGCAAAGUGCUAGUCUAGGUGUGGGUCACCAGCCCAUUAGUGAUAGUUGUGGAGUCUUUAGAUAAGUGCGGAAUAUCAAAGGCACUGUGGACUGUAAGGAGGAUGAGAUUUUUGUCUUCAUAGAAAAUACAGUGCUGUUCGAAAGUGGUGACGAUAGACAUUAAAUAUAUAAAAUCCUAUUUUCCUAUAACUUUGCUGGUUUUGUAUUUUUCUUUGUGCCAGAAUUGAUGGCAUGCUUCAUUUUCAUUGAUAAAGUUCAAUUCAAUUUCUACUUUCUACUUCAACUCAAAUUCAAUUUCUUCUUUGUUUAGAAGCUUUAGCGUCAUCUUCAUGUUAGUUUUCUACUUCGAACCCAUAAAAUGGGUUCGAAGUAGAAAACUAGUAAGCAGUCUUCAGUGGGUGGUGAGGAAAAAACAGCAUGCUCUGUGUUCGAAUUAAGGCUUCACCUAAUGAAUUGCAUUUUUCAUAUAUUGUGCAUGUGCUGCAGAAACAUUGCAACAGGGAACAGCGAAGGAAAAUGAAGUUGCUUUCAAUUAUACUGAAACGUAGGAAUAAGAAAAACAACAUAGUGGACGAUCUAGAGCAUCCUAGUGCAGGCAUUAUAAGUGUUAAUAUGGCUGUUACCAAAAAAAAAUUGACCCCCUUUUUUUCUUUACUUCUCAUAGGUGUAACAGUGUCAUUUGUGUUUUUUUCCAUAUUUCUUGUUUUAUUGACUUCGCUCGAUUUUCUUGCAGUUAUGUAUUUAUUGAAGUAUAAGGCAAGGUUUUUAUUCAGACUUGUAGCCUCGAAGUCGCCCCUGGCCUCAUAUGUGAGGCUGAUAGACCCAGCACCACAUUUUCAGUGAUCCAGAUUUUACGCAGCAGCGCACAUUGUAGCAACUAAUAAACCUUGGCAGGUGAGGCAGUACUGUAUAUUUUGCAUAUAACCUCCACCGAGAAUUCGGAAAAUUUAACAGUAAAGGCAGGGGGGAGGAGGUUAUAUGCAAAUUUCUGUUUGAUGUUUGACUUCACAGCAGCCUGAAUUUCAUCUUAUGGUGUGGCUUCGCAGCAGCGCGUCUGGGGGUGCCCGAUUAUUUGGUAUUUCGGGCAGUCCCCACUGAGUCUCAAUAAUCUGCUGCCGAUUCUAUGUCACCCUAUAUUAGUGUGCAUACUUAAGUUACUUUUCUUGGGUCCCCCAACUGGGAACGGGAAGGCAGGAAUCCUCGCCUUAUAAUCGAAUAAAUACAUCGUUUCUGGGAAUACUGUUCUGGAUCAUAACAUUUGUGACUCAGUGACCACGAUGUGUUGAUGCCAAGCGCAAUAUCUACAGUGGUUGCAUUUCGAUGAGGGCAAACUGCUAAAGCACCUGUGCCGUGAACUUGUGCGCAUUAAAGAACCGCAGGUUGUCAAAAUCAUUUAAGUGCCCCCCAUCGGCAGCCUCACUCUUCAAUCAGAUUGUGGCUUUGAGGUAUAAAAACCCAAGAAUCAAAUUUUGUCAGUUAUAUAUGGAAAGACCUUGACCUCAGUUGAACCAGGCACUGGUGUCAGUACAGGUAAUUUUGCAAUUUUAUUUCUUCCAGCACUUGGCUGGAAUUCAGUUUCUAAAACAAAGUGGAGUCAGAAAAUUUGCAUUAGUACUUCAUCGUCCACUACUCUGUUUACUCCCCUCUCCCAAUGUUAAGUAACAGGCCAGUGUGCAGUGUGCUGAGGCUUCGUGAUGGCUGCAUGAUAUUAUGCAGAAGACAAUGGGAGGAAUUAAAUGAGAAUAAUAUCAGGUUGUGGCCAAUGUUUCAAAGACAGACUGAAACAUUGGCUCCAGCUUCAAAUAUCUCUUUUUGUGCCUUCAUUGAUCGCUUGAAAUAUCUCAAACCGUGAUACUCUUGAUUGAGUGAAAGGCGUUGGUGAUUUGAUCACUCAGUUUUGGCUUGCAUACAAGUCUAGUUUAUAAAUCAUGUUAAACUUCUUUCCAGGUUUCUGCUGACAAUCUGCAUAUUGAAGCUCUUCAGUGCACCUGGAUGCAUCCAUAUUUUCUGCAAAGCCGUCAAGGAGAUUCCUUUGUCGUUGUUUAGAUUGUGUUUAUCAGGGAUCAAUGGCAGAUACUGUUACAUUUUUGCAUGAAAGAAAUAUCGAGAUGCAUUUUUUGUGUCGUGCUUAACAUGUGUUUACUCACGCCAUUUCUUUCCCACUUGUCGACAAGGCCUCAUUCUCGAGCAGCACAUGUGUGUCAGUACAAGUGCCAAGGUAAUAGCAAGACGAUGAGCAAAACGUGAACAAGGU
Long non-coding RNA from Dermacentor albipictus, 3898 nucleotides. RefSeq lists it as uncharacterized. The record is from RefSeq and is a predicted model, not a curated record. NCBI's taxonomy places the organism in Eukaryota, Metazoa, Arthropoda, Arachnida, Ixodida, Ixodidae.